RNAcentral lists this ribosomal RNA (810 nucleotides) under Triticum aestivum (bread wheat). RNAcentral describes it as "partial small subunit ribosomal RNA". The record is from RNAcentral. Lineage: Eukaryota; Viridiplantae; Streptophyta; Magnoliopsida; Poales; Poaceae.
AUGGCGGCGGAGCCCGCGGCGGACGGCCAGGAUCCCCCGCUGGCGGAUGCCGCCUCCGGCGACGACGACGCCGCGGCGGCGGCGGACGCGCUCCUGAGCGCGGCCUCGGAGCAGCUGACGCUGGUGUACCAGGGGGAGGUCUACGUCUUCGACCCCGUCCCGCCCCAAAAGGUUCAAGCUGCUCUGUUGGUGCUUGGAGGGUGUGAGGUGCCUCCUGGUUUAGUAAGCAUGGCUGGGCCUACUGCAUAUGCUGAAAAGAGUACAACUGUGGCUGCCAAAAGGGUUGCUUCCUUAAUGAGGUUUCGCGAGAAGAGGAAGGAAAGAUGUUUUGAUAAGAAAAUAAGAUACGGAGUGCGCAAGGAGGUUGCCCAAAAGAUGAAGCGGCGUAAAGGACAGUUUGCUGGAAGGGCAGAUUUUGGUGAUGCUGCAAGUUCUUCUGCAGCUUGUGUCUCUGCAGUCGAUGGCGAGGAUGAUCAUUUCCGAGAAUCCCAUUGUCAAAAUUGUGGUGUCAGCUCAAGGCUUACUCCAGCAAUGCGUCGGGGCCCGGCUGGCCCCAGGACCCUCUGUAAUGCUUGUGGCUUGAUGUGGGCAAAUAAGGGUACUCUGAGAAGUCCUUUGAAUGCUCCCAAAAUGACCGUGCAGCAUCCUGUCAAUCCGAGUAAAAUGGAGAGUGUGGAUGAUGACAAAGCAAUUGUGUGUGCUGAGCGUAAUCAUACCGCAGUCAAAAUGGAUUCUGAGAUGAGUCCGGAACAAGAACAGAAACCAGAACUGCGCCCGGCGACUGAAGGCGACACCAUGGCUGAUUCAUGA